This is a long non-coding RNA of Megachile rotundata (alfalfa leafcutting bee), 3892 nucleotides long. The record is from RefSeq and is a predicted model, not a curated record. NCBI's taxonomy places the organism in Eukaryota, Metazoa, Arthropoda, Insecta, Hymenoptera, Megachilidae.
ACAAACGAUCGUCAUUGGAAAACAUUGCUCUUAUGGAAAAGUCAAAGAAAAAUCUCUGGUAUUAAUAAUCAGAGAGAGAUUUGCAAAAUUAUUGAUAAAAAUGUGGAAACAGGUAGCUAUGUUUACGAGGGUUAAAGGUUGCAAUCUUUUUAUAAUUGUUAGGAAAUAUUGGUGGCCAAGAAGAGGUUUUGCAAUGGACAAUGGAAAAAAUGCAACGUUCAGCUAUCACGGAAAGUCGUGACGUAACUAGGAUUGCGAAAAUUGGCCUUCGUCGAGGUAUUGCUGUAACGAUUCCAGCGUUUAUCGGUCGGGGUUCUGCCGACGUUUCACCGAGUUCGCAGAUUCACAAAACGAGUUCACCGUUCUUGGAAAUCGAGCUGCGUUAAUAAGGUCAUGGAUCUCUAAUUAAUCCUUUACGUUUCUUUCUUCUCGACCUGAUAAAUUGGUAAUAGUUAAAUCGAACUUGUAAUCAUGUACUUAAUCUCUCGUUCUAAUUUAACGUAACACCCCGCAGUUACAACGAAGAAUUUGUAAAGAGACGGGAGCUUUCUGGAACGAGUCAUUUCGCUUCGAUGACAAAACUUGCGACCUGGUCAAAGAGCAACGAGAAAGCGAUAGAAAAAGCGGUGGACAAUGAGAGGGAGAUCCGCAGUGAUGUCACGACGUAUUGUAUUUCGCUUAUCGACGCCAGAUGCCGAUUCCUCGUGGAACUCGUAGCAUUUCACGAAUGCGAAUGCCACGAUUUCCGACGACAAUGACCACCGAGACAACGACCUUCGAAGAUCGACUUUGUUCUAGUCAACGCACCUUCAUAUUUUUAUACUCGCCAAGAAAAUCUUUCAGUUUGAUAUACGGAGAUAAAAUGAAGUUUUUAAUCCUUAGUUUGUUAUUUUCUGCUGAUGACAAAACAAUGUAUCAUUAUUUAGACGUUAGUCUAAAAACUUCACUAGGUGCACCGUUAUAGUUGACAUAUUUGUGUGCGCAAGGCACCCGUGAUCAAUGUUAUGACAAUUCGAGGUCGCAGCACGGUGUCCCCGUUUUCAAAACAGUUUUUUGUCGACCUAUGCAGGCGAUGGAGGGAAUAAUUCGUUGGGGGUAGGACAAAUAGUCAUUUACAAUAAUUAUUGGUACGCUAAGUUUUACAACCUAAGUUUUAUGUCACUGAACACUUGCUUAAUUUUUAAAUUGCAUUGAUUUAAUGAUAAGGUCAAGUGAUGAGGGUCAAUCAAGGAAUUCAUGACUCCAUAUUGUAUAUCUACAUCGAUUAUAAGUUGGAACAAACAUCGAGGGGCGUCAGGACACGUGUAAUGUCUAAUGACCCAUCUCUGACCUAAUCAAGGGUAGCUUUUGAGAGAACCUCUCCAUUCAGAAAACAGGAGCACGUGCCUCCCUAUUAGCUUGAAAACGUGUCUAUAACGAUGGGGCCAUUAACGUAACGAUAAAGUAACUUCAGGAUCAAAUGGAUGAUCAUAAUUCAGUUAAAAUAAUAAACACCUGAUGUAAAAAUUAUAAUUAAGUAAUCUCUCAUGUUUGUAGCAAUUAAUUCUGAAAUUUGAAAUGACUGUAUGAUUCUUACAAGUGAUUUGUUUUUACAGAGUCACCCUACAGAUGUGGAUCUUCAGGAUUUAAGAGUCUUGAAAAAUAACACAUUGCCAGGGUAAUUAAGCUUCACACAGCACCAGUGAAUCCCAACGCAACCAGAAAUUGAAUUUCACCUCCAAAGAAACAAAGCGCCGAAUCAAAAACGCAACGUACACCGCGUAUCAGCUUUAAGAUAAGAAGAGUAAGGGGUGAGGAAGGUACGAGGAUAAAACAGAAGCUCGAAUCAGAGGGCAGAGGGUCAUCUGCGCGACGAUAGCUCAUCUCAUGGUAUCUUCCGCGUGAGCCAAUCGUCGCCUGGUAUCUCGACCUCGUCAACGUCGUCGUCGCAACGUUUUCCAGCGUCCUUCUCUCGUACUUGUACACCGGAAGUAUAUAUAGAAUUGCAACUCGUCAAAAAUCUACUUUCUUCAGCUCCUAAAUAUCACGUUUCAACCAUUUCUUUCAGGACGGAUGAUACGUUAUCAAAGAAAGAAGAGUUGUGUUUACUAUAACGAAUACUCGGUGUUUUGCAAAGGAACUAAUCAUGUAGCAGGUUUGACCAAAAACAGCAAUAAGGAUUACUUAACCAGAUAAUUCGAGGGGCCCGACCGUGUUCCCGCCUUUUGGUUCGUCGUCGCAGAUUUAUCAGGAAUCUCCUUCCUUCGCGUUUCGCGAUUGAACGACCGUCAUUCUGAUCAUCUUAUCGUUACAGAGUCAAGGAAGCGGAACUUAGACGAUAAGAAAAUCGAGUACAAACUGCGUGCAAUUCUUGGAUGCUCGGGGAAGUGGCUCAAGGAAUCAACUCGUGACACAGGUUGACGCAGAUCGAUCAAGUUUACUAUAACGCGGAUUACGAGAUUUUAUCAAAUUGAAUCUAAUAUAUAAUACAACUGGAGUGCGAACGAGAUUGAUAAGCGGAUUCGCGACUCCUUUAUCAGCUACGAUUAGACGAAAGCCGUGCCCUUGUUUACUACAAGAUCUAUUUUAACGCAAGCGCGAAGAUAUUACAUAUGGCCUGGUUUCUGGAUAAACAAACAGGGUCGCGUUAUCGUUGCUGAAAACCAGGCGCCAUCGAUUCGCCAAAAGAUUGCAAGGUGUUUACAACUUAUUAACCCCUUGAUCAUACAAAUGCGGAACGAUGCUCCUUGCACGGUUUAAACGAAGUUAAAUAGCAGUCCAUAGUAAUCAGGGCUGCACAAUUAAACGCGUCGACUAAGCCGUGCUCAGGCUUAUCGGACAUUCUUUAUUGUGUCGAUAAAUUUGCACGCGAAUGCGAUUGUUAAACGUAAUACGGGAAUGUGGAGCACGAAUCAAGACGAAUAGAGGAGUAGAAGCGACGGAGGGAUUCACGAAAACGCUGUCGUUGGCCGAUAUAUCAGCUCUCGGCUGGUGGAGCAGCCAACAUUCCCGGAUUAGCGACCAUAACUCUCGCUGGUGAGAGCACUCUGAACAGCUCUCUCGAUUUCGAAAACACGAAAAGCGACGAGGCGGUUCUUGUUGCUUCUGCAAAAAUUCCUGACCGCCUCGGAGGAUCCUUAAGCGAAGGUUUAUCUUAAGGAAUUAGAGAUGACUAGGAUUUUUACGGCGCCUUUAUGAUCAGCCUUUUAUACCGGAGAUAUCGACGACGGUGAGCUUCUUGGAUUUCAACGGUGGUGCGCUGAGGAUUAAUCGUGUCCAACGGUUUCUGUUUAUCUAGCGAUUAGCGAAUCAGACAAAUCUGGUAACGCGAAACCGUGCACGCAACCGCUUCCCUUUAUCAACGUUUAUCGUAGCCUUCGAUCCUGUGUCGGACCUCUUUCGACAUCUUCAGGUUCCGUUACGGAUCAGAGAAAUAUUCUCCGGGAGUCUUAUGCUGGUAAAAGAAUCCCCAUAACGAUGUUAAUGUUCAAAAGUUGUUCUUAAGAGAACCUUUCGAUCAAAAUAGAAUGCACAAACGGUAAAUUCGACUAAUUAAAUCAUAAAGUGCCUAUAACGCGUUAACGAUACUAUAAUGCAUGCUUUAAUUCAACAGGAAUGAUCGUUCAGUUUUUGGAUGGAUUUAUUAUGCUCCCAUAAACAAGCGGUCUCCCGUCUCUGUCUCUCCCGCUGGAUAAUUAAUGGAUAUGGUUUGCGUUAACGACCAGCUUAUAACUGGACGUAUCCAUCAGCAACAUGAUACAAUCAACCGCGUAUAUUCAGCGAGCGCAAAAACAAUUGGGCGAUAGUGGCUGAUAAAUCAUGAAAGGGCGCCUACCUUGAUGCAGAGAUGGGAGAGGCGAUGGCGGUGACACCUGAAAUGGCUCCUGUUUGAUCUUUAGAGAAUGGGAGGACU